Molecule: long non-coding RNA, 2117 nt
Organism: Equus caballus (horse)
Lineage: Eukaryota; Metazoa; Chordata; Mammalia; Perissodactyla; Equidae
Source: Ensembl
CUUCAAGGCCCAGCCGCGUCGGCCCAAAGCUGCCGCCAACAGCUUCUCCGGAGCUCACGAUGUCUUUUUGCCCUGCGCUCGUUCUCUCCUAUAAUCUCUUAGCGUCUGUUCCGCAGGACAAAGACACAGCAGUUGGAGUUAGGAAAUCCAGGCCCGAGUCCCUGGUCCCACACUGGCAGGCCCUGUGACCUCGGGCAUGUCACCACACAUCCCCCAGGUACUCUCAGCCAGGCCCGGGCCAGCUCAGAGGAGCGAUGGUGAACAGUCCCUACGCUCGAGAGCUCCCAUUCCAAUGUUUGCAUCUGGAAAACAGGCACUGUAGCAGCCACCCCUCCAGCCGGCUGAGAGCAGGGAGCAAGAACAAGGCGUGAGGGGCCGCUUGUGCGCUCGAACGCGCCGGCCGAGUUCUGUUCCCUAAUAAUUCCUCCACGGACGCCUCGUCUUCCCCGUCUGCACACGGGGGUAUGAAGGCAGAUUUAUCUCAGCCCUUUCUAGCAGCCAGCAGAGCGCGAGGCAGCGCAGGCAGCAGCCAGGAGCUUGGUCUCCCGGCCAUUCUGUCUGAUUUGCAUCUUGGUGCUGUCUUUUCCCACCUUUGGGACCCUGGACAAGUUAUUCAGCUCUGUGCCUCAGUUUCCUCAUCUACAAAAUGGGAGACGACAGCGCCUAUCUCCCUUUCAUGUCCUAGGGCUGCUCUAACACGUUAAGUAUGCUCUCGCGGUUCUGGAGCCCAGGAGUCCCAGCUCGAGGUCUCGGCAGGCGGGCCGUGCUCCCUCCGAAGGCUGGAGAGGAGAAUCCUUCCCUGUCUUUCCAGCUCCUGGUGGUUCCAGGCACUCCUUGGCUUGGGCCGCAUGGCUCCCAUCUCUGCCCUGUCUUCACGGGGCUUCUCCUCCGUCUGUCUCUCCUCCGUGUGUCUUCUCUAAGGACUCCUGGCUUUGGCUGGAGGGCCCAUCCGGAUAACCCAGGAUGGUCUUGAGAUCCUUAAUUCCACCCGCAAAGGUCCUUUUCCCAAACAUGGUCAUAUUCACAGGCUCUGGAGAUUAGCACGCGGACGUCUUUUGGGGUCACCAGUCACCCCACGACAGUCGACUCAAGAGGACGCGUUCCAGGCUCAGUGCACAGCUGGGAUCGUUGUGAGCACUCGGCUGAUAGGAGCUACUGCCAUUCUGCAUCCAGAGGCUGUGUGUGAGGUUCAGCUGUGGAGACGCCCCCGACCAGCCUCACUGGGUCACAGGGAACAGAACCCGAAGAGUAGAAUGAUCGGGCACCCUUUCUCCCCAGUCUCCAGGGCUGGCAGCCUGACUUGCCAGGCUGCAUUUUCCAACUUGACCAAACUCGCUUUAGCCUUGAGACUCCGCCAUUCUCUCUGUUCUAAACCAGCUUUUUGCAGAAACCACCAAUUAUUGCAAAGUCUGCAUUUUGCUUCACUACAAUUAGGGGACCCCUGGCCGGGGGCUGAGGAGAACAAGUCAUGAAACAGCCCCAUGCAGGAGGGGAGAAACGGCCAGCAAAGGCGGUCUCGAUGGGGCAUCAUCUUGUUUAGUCUCAGGUGGAAGCCAGUUUGGCCUCAUCAGGACCAGACGAAGACCAGUGCGGGACAGAGGUGCUUCUGAGGUGGCUGGCUCGGUUCCAGGCCAGUGGAAGGACCCAAGCUCAGAGCCAGACCUGCUGUGACCUGGGGUGGAGGUGAAGCAGAAGGGGUGCCCUCAGAGAAUGCAGAAGGCACAGGGGCCCUGUGCCGGCAGAGAGGGAAAUGGAGAAACCAGAAGGAAGAGCCUGGCCCCACAGGAAGCAGAAGACAGACCUGAUCCUCCAAGAAGCCAGGCUUGAGCUCCGCCAGGGGCCACUCACCCCAUUCAGGAGAAGAGAGAGAUUCGCCCAUCAAGCGGGUGCAGCUGGCCGCUGAGACGCGGCGCCUAGGAGCUGAGUUCCGGGCCCGCAUCGCAUCGCAUCGCAGAGCCGUGGCGCCGUCACAGAAGCAUCCUGUGUUGCUGAUUUCGUUGGUUCCUUCGUUCUCCAAGGAGAUGUUAUACCUGCCAGGGGCUGGACCUGAGGACUCAGCGGGAACCACAGAGGCCACCCUCACUGCUCUGUGUGUGCUCAUGGCUCCUCAAAUACAC